UACAGGGGGUGCAAACGUUGCUCGGAAUCAUUGGGCGUAAAGCGCACGUAGGCGGUUCGUUAUGUCGGAUGUGAAAGCCCUUGGCUUAACCGAGGAAGUGCAUCCGAAACUGGCGAGCUAGAGUACGAAAGAGGAUCGCGGAAUUCCCGGUGUAGUGGUGAAAUGCGUAGAUAUCGGGAGGAACACCAGUGGCGAAGGCGACUUCCUGGCCUGUUCUUGACGCUGAGGCGCGAAAGCUAGGGGAGCAAACAGG
Molecule: ribosomal RNA, 253 nt
Filed under: uncultured bacterium
Lineage: Bacteria
Description: partial 16S ribosomal RNA
Rfam family: Bacterial small subunit ribosomal RNA
Source: RNAcentral